Molecule: non-coding RNA, 212 nt
Organism: Pelobates cultripes (western spadefoot toad)
Lineage: Eukaryota; Metazoa; Chordata; Amphibia; Anura; Pelobatidae
Source: the annotation of a GenBank genome assembly
CUGCCAGAUAUGGGGUGCAUUGGCGUUGUUGGCAGGCUUAUGCAAUGUAUGAUUAUAUAAUGUAACUAAACCCCCAUGGUUUUCAUAUAUAGUGCUUAGUUAUUUCUCCUCUUGUUUUGCCUAUCAUAUCUUGUCUUGUUUUAAUUUGUAUUCCCAGUCCAUUUACAGUCCUGUCCUGCCCAUGUUAUGUUCAUGUUUCCAGUGGCGUACAC